GGUUCGAUUAUGGCUCAGAUUGAACGCUGGCGGAUGCUUUACACAUGCAAGUCGAACGGCAGCACGGACUUCGGUCUGGUGGCGAGUGGCGAACGGGUGAGUAAUGUAUCGGAACGUGCUCAGUAGCGGGGAUAACUACGCGAAAGCGUAGUCAAUACCGCAUACCGCCCUUCGGGGGAAAGCGGGGGAUCUUCGGCCUCGCACCAUUAGAGCGGCCGAUAUCGGGAUUAGCUAGUUGGUGGGGUAACGGCUCACCAAGGCGACCCGUAGCUGGUUUGAGAGGACGACCAGCCACACACUGGACCAGACACGGCCCAGACUCCGCAUGGAAAGUGCGCAGGGAAUUUUGGAUACUUGGGGAAACCCUGAUCCAGCCAUCCCGCGUGUGCGAUGAAGGCCUUCGGGUUGUAAAGCACUUUUGGCAGGAAGAAACGGCACGGGAUAAUACCCCCGUGCAACUGACGGUACCUGCAGAAUAAGCACUGGCCAACUACGUGCCAGCAGCCGCGUACACGGGGUGCAGCGUUAAUCGGAAUUACCGGGCGUAAAGCGUGCGCAGGCGGUUCGGAAAGAAAGAUGUAAAUCCAGAGCCGAUCUUUGGGAACUGCAUUUUUAACUACCGAGCUAGAGUGUCAGAGGGAGGUAAAUUCGCGUGUAGCAGUGAAAUGCGCAGAUAUGCGGAGAACACCGAUGGCGAAGGCAGCCUCCUGGGAUAACACUGACGCUCAUGCACGAAAGCGUGGGGAGCAAACAGGAUUAGAUACCCUGGUAGUCCACGCCCUAAACGAUGUCAACUAGCUGUUGGGGCCUGGCCUCGGUAGUGCAGCUAACGCAGGAAGUUGACCGCCUGGGGAGUACGGUCGAUUAAAAAUCCCCAAAGGAAUUGACGGGGACCCGCACAAGCGGUGGAUGAUGUGGACUAUCUGAUGCAACGGGCGAAAAACCUUACCUACCCUUGACAUGUCUGGAAUCUCAGGAAGAGCUCUGGGGAGUGCUCGCAAGAGAACCGGAACACAGGUGCUGCAUGGCUGUCGUCAGUUCGUGUCGUGAGAUGCUGCUGUUCCGUACCAGCGCAACUUUGCGUUACGAAGUUGUAUGCUAUUUGUGCUGGCACCUUUCCACUGAGACUGCCUGUGACAACCGGGAGGGAAGGUGGGGAUGACGUCAAGUCCUCAUGGCCCUUAUGGGCAGGGCUUCACACUGUCAUACAAUUCUGGUCGGGACAGAGGCUCAACCCGCGAGGGGGAGCCAAUCCCAGAAACCCCGAUCGUAUCCGAACGCAGUCUGCAACUCGACUGCGUGAAGUCAGAAUCGCUGUGGGUAAUCGCGGAUCAGCAUGUCGCGGUGAAUACGUUCCCGGGUCUGCGGUAGGCCACACCGCCCUCACACCAGUGGGAGUGGUUUCACUGAAGAAGUUAGCCUAACCGUAAGGAGGGCGAUUACCAUGGUAGGAUUCAUGACUGACCGGGGUGAAGUCGUAACGCUGCAA
This 1489-nucleotide ribosomal RNA is filed under the name uncultured Bordetella sp. RNAcentral describes it as "partial 16S-23S ribosomal RNA intergenic spacer". It matches the Rfam family "Bacterial small subunit ribosomal RNA". The record is from RNAcentral. Lineage: Bacteria; Pseudomonadati; Pseudomonadota; Betaproteobacteria; Burkholderiales; Alcaligenaceae.